CUACGGGUGGCAGCAGUGAGGAAUUUUGCGCAAUGGGGGAAACCCUGACGCAGCAACGCCGUGUGAGUGAAGAAGGCCUUCGGGUCGUAAAGCUCUGUCAAGUGGGAAAAAAGUCUUUCGGUAAAUAGCCGGAAGGCCUGAUGGUACCACUAAAGGAAGCACCGGCUAACUCCGUGCCAGCAGCCGCGGUAAUACGGAGGGUGCUAGCGUUGUUCGGAAUUAUUGGGCGUAAAGAGCGUGUAGGCGGCUUGGUAAGUCAGAUGUGAAAGCCCUGGGCUCAACUCAGGAAGUGCAUUUGAUACUGCUUUGCUUGAGUAUGGGAGAGGAGAGUGGAAUUCCCAGUGUAGAGGUGAAAUUCGUAGAUAUUGGGAGGAACACCCGUGGCGAAGGCGACUCUCUGGACCAAUACUGACGCUGAGACGCGAAAGCGUGGGGAGCAAACAGGAUUAGAUACCCCGGUAGUC
Molecule: ribosomal RNA, 464 nt
Filed under: uncultured bacterium
Lineage: Bacteria
Description: partial 16S ribosomal RNA
Rfam family: Bacterial small subunit ribosomal RNA
Source: RNAcentral